RNAcentral lists this ribosomal RNA (434 nucleotides) under uncultured Anaerosporobacter sp. RNAcentral's name for it is "partial 16S ribosomal RNA". It matches the Rfam family "Bacterial small subunit ribosomal RNA", at positions 341 to 792 of the family's 1533-position model. Lineage: Bacteria; Bacillati; Bacillota; Clostridia; Lachnospirales; Lachnospiraceae. The record is from RNAcentral.
ACGGAAGGCAGCAGUGGGGAAUAUUGCACAAUGGGGGAAACCCUGAUGCAGCGACGCCGCGUGAGUGAUGAAGUAUUUCGGUACGUAAAGCUCUAUCAGCAGGAAAGAUAAUGACGGUACCUGACUAAGAAGCCCCGGCUAACUACGUGCCAGCAGCCGCGGUAAUACGUAGGGGGCAAGCGUUAUCCGGAUUUACUGGGUGUAAAGGGAGUGUAGGUGGCGUGGCAAGUCAGAUGUGAAAGCCCGCGGCUCAACCGCGGAACUGCAUUUGAAACUGUCAUGCUAGAGUGCAGGAGAGGAAAGUGGAAUUCCUAGUGUAGCGGUGAAAUGCGUAGAUAUUAGGAAGAACACCAGUGGCGAAGGCGGCUGUCUGGACUGUUACUGACGCUGAGGCGCGAAAGCGUGGGGAGCAAACAGGAUUAGAUACCCUGGUA